CCCAAAUGCCAGCAGUAUAGAAAUGUCAGUCUACAUUAAUGCAAGUAGCAUCCCCACCCCACAACCCCACAAGUCCGUUCUGCACACAGCAGCCUGAGUGAUUCUUUUCUUUUCUCUUUAAGAUUUUAUUUAUUUAUUUGACAGAGCGAGAGAGAGAUCCAUGUAGGCAGAGAGGCAGGCAGUGGGAAAGGGAUGAGCAGAGAGCCCAAUGCGGGGCUCGAUGCCAGGACCCCGAGACCAUGACCUGAGCUGAAGGCAGAGGCUUAACCCACUGAGCCACCCAGGCGCCCCGAUCCUUUUCUAAUCUAAAUCAAGUCAAGCCUCUUCAAAACCAUCCAAGCUCUUCUCAUCUGGCACAAAGUUAAAGGCAAAUCUUUACAAUGGCCUUGAAUACUUUAUGUGAUCUGACCCCACUACCUUCCUUACCUACCUCCUACUUAAAGACCCCUCUCCCCUUGCUAAAGGCUUGUUUAAGUAACCUGAUGUCCCCACAGCACCCCCUCUCCCCUUGCUGAAGGCUUGAUUGUCCCCAUAGCCAGAUGGAAACACAUACCAGGAUGUCUAGUGUCUGUGAUCACCCGGUCUGUCAAAAGAAAAGACAAAUGAGGAAUAGAGUGUACCUGGGACUUUCCAGAGUGCUGAGGCAAGGCCCGCCAGAACAAACGGCUGUGUCCUUGCCUUAAACCCAACGCCUGACUAAUUAACCAAUCAGAUCCCUGUAACCAUGCAUCUGCUUCUGUAAGCUUGCUUCCCGCUACCCCAACCCUGCCCUAUAUAAUCUGCUCCCCAACUUAGCCCGGCGCGCUCAGCCCACAAAGGCUGAUGCAUCCGCAGGCGCCUGUGUAACCAAUAAACCUCUUGCAGUUUGCAUCCAGUGGAGGCGUGCCUUUUGAUUCUUGGGUGCGGCACCAGGGUCUUUCAUUUGGAGGUCCCAUCGAGAUCUCUUGAAGUCCCACCCAAGACUCUAGCCGGUCCCCACCAGGAGGUAAGCUGGCCAGUAUCCGUGUCUCUGUCAUUCGUGUCUCUGUCUCUCUGUUUGUCUGUUUUUCUGUUCCGUACAACAACGUUGUUGCUCCGUAUUUUUGGGCAGGCUGAGAAGGAGUUGACGAACUCAGACUUCUCCCCUGCUGUAACCGAGGGACGCCUCGGGGGUUUCAGUUUACUCUAGGAGAUGCCUUGGGGUUUCCAAAGAGGGCCAUUAUCUUGGGCCACCUGUCGGUCAGAGAGGAUCUCGCGUUCCUCCUGACCAUAACCUGUAGUCUCGAUUUCUGAACCGAACCCGCACAGCAAUUUCUAUUUUUGUCUCUUGUGUCCAGGCUGUCCUGUCGACGUCCUAAGUGUCUAUAUGUUCUUUGUUUCAGUUAUGAAGGUAACAUUCUGUUUAGGGAAAAAUGUCUGAUCCGUUUGAAUCUGAGGAAUGCCUGACUGUAUGAAUGUUUAUGUGGCUCCACCGCCUUUGGCUAUGGAGUCUGAGUGGGCUGCACCCUGAGUCUCGCGGAGCGUCAUACGGCAUAACGGUCAUCUACUCCAUGGAGUAGCCUGGUCUGGGGUUUAUAUGGAUAGACCUUAGCUAAGACGCUCCUAAGUUCCCACGAGGGACGCGAGCAGGACAGCACCUGAAAGGUCCCACUCCCCUUGUCUGCAACAUCAUACAUAUCGGAAGGAAAUAUAAAAGAUAGGUAUUAAGAACUAAAACCAGAUUCAAUGAGUCAGCUAGUAAAUUUCCUCCUGACAUAUUGGAUAAACCCAGGUUGCUGGGCCAUCCCUAGCAAAGGGGACUCUGGCUUUAUUUCUCUCUGUUUCUCCUAAUAGAUGUGGGAGCUUCUCCCUCACUCACUUCCUAUGUUGAUGGCUAUAACUGAAGCCAACUGGGGUUGGUCUGACUCGGGACAGAGACUAUAGGGAAUAUUCCCAAGCAGCUGCUGAAACUCUUUGUUUCGGGGAGGUUUCCCUGUGUUCUCUGGCCUGACUUGGACUGCCUAACCCCUCCCCCCUGGCUAAUGAAAAAGCAUGGCAUCUGCUCCUCUGUUGGGGCUUAGGAGCUCCAAAACUGGGAAUCCUUUCUCUGCCUCCUGGCAGCACUUUGUUUCUUCUGUUUCCCUCUUCUCCUAUUUCUAUACCAACGUGUGUGCAGCCUGCAUGACUGGCCUCUAGAUCAUGCACCACAGCUCCUUCUCUCUUCACUGUCAAGGAGCAAGAAGAGCACCCCCUGGACCUAACACCCCCUCACUCCAGAUCUUCCCAACCAUGUCUCAGACUCCAUUGCUACAAUGACUACACCACUACAGACGAUCCUUGUCGCGCACAAGAACACCUCUUCACUGUCAGCGCUGGAUUCAGCUGCCUCCACCUUUUGAAACUCCCUUAUACAUUCCUACCCUGAUCAAUAUUAACCCCAGUAGGUAGGGACAGCUCUACGCCCCUAUUCAGCACGAAGAAGUUAUAGAAGAUGAGACCUUCCACCUUCAACCACCUUAAAAAUUUAAGGGUCUUUAAAAGCUGGCGCCUUGCAUCCCCCCUUCACCCGCUCCCCUCCAUAUGUGUAGCAUUCCUCAGGCACCCCUGACUGCCAUAAAAUGAUAAAUAGUUGACUUGCUAAGAUCACAAUCCUGCAAGAUAGGAGCCUCCCUUGGUUUGCAAAUGUCCUUGAGAUUACAACAAAGAAGUUACUUUAUCAAUAGCCCAAUUUUCAAUCGGCCCUUGUAUCUUAAAUAAACUCGUACAGUUUGUAAAAGAUCGCUUGUCAGUAAUCCAGACAAUGGUACUGACACAGCAAUAUCAACUACUUAAACAAACCGGCUCUCAAACUGACUUACUUGAUAAACAAAGCGAAUGUAUAUAGGAUUCUAUCCAUGAUAAAGAAAAAGGGGGGAAUGAAAGACCCCUCUCCCCUUGCUAAAGGCUUGUUUAAAUAACCUGAAGUCCCCACAGCACCCCCUCUCCCCUUGCUGAAGGCUUGAUUGUCCCCAUAGCCAGAUGGAAACACAUACCAGGAUGUCUAUUGUCUGUGAUCACCCGGUCUGUCAAAAGAAAAGACAAAUGAGGAAUAGAGUGUACCUGGGAAUUUCCAGAGUGCUGAGGCAAGGCCCACCAGAACAAACGGCUGUGUCCUUGCCUUAAACCCAACGCCUGACUAAUUAACCAAUCAGAUCCCUGUAACCAUGCAUCUGCUUCUGUAAGCUUGCUUCCCGCUACCCCAACCCUUCCUAUAUAAUCUGCUCCCCAACUUAGCCCGGCGCGCUCAGACCACAAAGGCUGAUGCAUCCGCAGGCGCCUGUGUAACCAAUAAACCUCUUGCAGUUUGCAUCUA
Molecule: long non-coding RNA, 3310 nt
Organism: Mustela lutreola (European mink)
Lineage: Eukaryota; Metazoa; Chordata; Mammalia; Carnivora; Mustelidae
Exons: 2
Source: RefSeq, a predicted model, not a curated record